UACGAAGGGGGCUAGCGUUGCUCGGAAUCACUGGGCGUAAAGGGUGCGUAGGCGGGUCUUUAAGUCAGGGGUGAAAUCCUGGAGCUCAACUCCAGAACUGCCUUUGAUACUGGAAAGCUUGAGUUCGGGAGAGGUGAGUGGAACUGCGAGUGUAGAGGUGAAAUUCGUAGAUAUUCGCAAGAACACCAGCGGCGAAGGCGGCUCACUGGCCCGAUACUGACGCUGAGGCACGAAAGCGUGGGGAGCAAACAGG
This 253-nucleotide ribosomal RNA is filed under the name uncultured bacterium. Its description in RNAcentral is "partial 16S ribosomal RNA". It matches the Rfam family "Bacterial small subunit ribosomal RNA", at positions 524 to 776 of the family's 1533-position model. The record is from RNAcentral.